Molecule: long non-coding RNA, 1212 nt
Filed under: Phasianus colchicus (ring-necked pheasant)
Lineage: Eukaryota; Metazoa; Chordata; Aves; Galliformes; Phasianidae
Description: lncRNA (ENSPCLG00000017810.1)
Source: RNAcentral
AAGAGCACGGAGGGGGGGUUUGGGUGCACGAGGAGCUGCAGGUAGUUGAGGGCGAACUUCUCCACGUACUCACGGAGCGGCUCCUUCUCGUACAUCCGCUUCACGAACAGCAGCGCCUGCUGGCGGACCUGGGGGACCCACAGUGGCACCCAUGGGCACCCACUGGCACCCACUGGCACCCAUUGGCACCUACUGUCAACUACUGUCACCUACUGUCACCUACUGUCACCCACUGGCACCCACUGGCACCUACACUCACCUACGAUCACCCAUUGGCACCCCUUGGCACCUACUGUCACCCACUGGCACCAAUUGGCACCUACAGUCACCCACUGUCACCCAUUGGCACCAAUUGGCACCUAUUGACACCUAUUGGCACCUACUGGCACCUACUGUCACCCACUGGCACCCAUUGGCACCCAUUGCCACCUACUGUCACCCACUGGCACCCAUUGGCACCUACUGCCAUCUACUGUCACCUACUGUCACCCAUUGGCACCUACACUCACCUACAAUCACCCCUUGGCACCUAUUGUCACCCACUGGCACCCACUGGCACCCACUGGCACCCAUUGGCACCUACUGUCAACUACUGUCACCUACACUCACCUACAAUCACCCCUUGGCACCUACUGUCACCCAUUGGCACCAAUUGGCACCAACUGUCAUCUUCUGUCACCCACUGUCACCCAUUGGCACCCAUUGGCACGUACCAUCACCCAUUGGCAUCUAUUGGCACCUACUGGCACCUACUGGCACCCACUGUCAUCUACUGUCAUCCAUUGGCACCUACACACACCUACGAUCACCAAUUGGCACCCCUUGGCACCUACUGUCACCUACUGUCACCCACUGGCACCUACACUCACCUACGAUCACCCCUUGGCACCCAUUGGCACCUACUGUCAACUACUGUCACCUACACUCACCUACGAUCACCCCUUGGCACCUACUGUCACCCAUUGGCACCCAUUGGCACCAACUGUCAUCUACUGUCACCCACUGGCACCCAUUGGCCCCCACUGUCACCCAUUGGCACCCACUGUCACCCAUUGCCACCUACUGUCAACUACUGUCACCUACACUCACCUACGAUCACCCCUUGGCACUUACUGUCACCCACUGGCACCCAUUGGCACCAACUGUCAUCUACUGUCACCCACUGGCACCCAUUGGCACCCAUUGGCACCCACUGGCACCCAUUGGCACCCA